CUUUAUUUAUCAUUUCAUUUUUUAUAUUUCUUAUUAGCAUGCAUGAUGAAUUAACUAAAAAAACAAUAAACCUAAGUUAUUACAUGAUCAUGGGGUGGGGGAACAUUCAACUGACAAUGGGGGAUGGAUCCACACAAUACAAAAUAAGGGGAUGAAAAGAAAAUACAAAUUACAAACCAUGUGCCAUGCCUAAAACAUACAAGUGGCA
Molecule: long non-coding RNA, 208 nt
Filed under: Lathyrus oleraceus (garden pea)
Lineage: Eukaryota; Viridiplantae; Streptophyta; Magnoliopsida; Fabales; Fabaceae
Description: Pisum sativum (pea) long non-coding RNA (PSAT_LNC005089)
Source: RNAcentral